Molecule: non-coding RNA, 48 nt
Filed under: Elusimicrobiota bacterium
Lineage: Bacteria; Pseudomonadati; Elusimicrobiota
Description: Elusimicrobia bacterium Li+-I sequence
Rfam family: nhaA-I RNA
About the family: Acidobacteria, Alphaproteobacteria, Betaproteobacteria and Gammaproteobacteria, Verrucomicrobia, cand. division NC10. Downstream gene
Source: RNAcentral
GGGUCCGGAGCAGCCGCUCCGGAGGUUGGGAUGGUCGGGCCGCCAUCC